GUGCAGCGGCUGUCCCCGCCCUGAAAACCGAGUUUGGUGUCGAGCCACUCUGGAAUACAUGGAGGCGCCGGAGGACCAGUGGAAGGUGUCAUCCAGAUGACAGCCUCACAAUUCGCAGCCUUUGUGCUCUCCAUCAGAAACCCAUCGGGGGCAAGCCACUUAUGUUUGCCUUCAGACAAGACAACAUUGAAGCAGGAUUCGAGCACAGCCAUCUCCUGCACUUAUGGUCAAGAUGCUCAGACAAUGGAGUCCCUGUUCCUUGUGGUUAACCGUGAACAGUAUUCUCGCUUUUAUGAAAGCUAAAGGUGAUUUCCUGCAUAAAUUAGGAUUUUGCAGCUCAAAUGUAUACACUUUAUUCUAAUUUGAAGCAACUAAUAUAUGCUGUUUAAUUCUUUUAUACUGUUUGAUACAAUCAUUUCUUGUUGGAAAAUAUUAAGCAUGAUGUUUAACAUUUAUUUAUGCAUUACUGGCUGAUGCAUGAUGGCCUGUGUUUAAAAAAUGUGAACUCACAUUUGAAGCUUCAUUCAAUAACCAGAGUAUGGCUGAUUUAAUAAACAUUAUUUGCUCAUUUAUGUACAAGCCCUAAUCUUCCAUUAUCGCACCAAGUACAAAUAAUUUAGAAAUUGGCAAUGUAUCAUCCGCAUGUGGCCAGUAG
This is a long non-coding RNA of Dermacentor silvarum, 655 nucleotides long. RefSeq lists it as uncharacterized. The record is from RefSeq and is a predicted model, not a curated record. NCBI's taxonomy places the organism in Eukaryota, Metazoa, Arthropoda, Arachnida, Ixodida, Ixodidae. The transcript is spliced from 3 exons.